GAUGGCAAGAUUUCCUUAUCCAUUUGUCCGGGAAGCAUUUUGCUUUUCAGAACAAGUCUGAAGAAGCUAAAGGGUUGAUGAAAGAUCUCCUGCAAAGUGAUGACUGAAACUCCCAGCACGUGCGAUUACUCAUCUAAAAUCCCUAACUGAUAGGCAAAUGCAUUACUAGCCAUUCUAGAAUGUCAGAGAAGGAAUAAAAGAUCCUGCAUAGGAA
Molecule: long non-coding RNA, 214 nt
Organism: Suricata suricatta (meerkat)
Lineage: Eukaryota; Metazoa; Chordata; Mammalia; Carnivora; Herpestidae
Exons: 3
Source: RefSeq, a predicted model, not a curated record